RNAcentral lists this microRNA precursor (215 nucleotides) under Orobanche cernua var. cumana. Its description in RNAcentral is "miR172c". It matches the Rfam family "mir-172 microRNA precursor family". Rfam says of the family: mir-172 has been experimentally verified in Arabidopsis thaliana. This family is thought to target mRNAs coding for APETALA2-like transcription factors. The record is from RNAcentral. Lineage: Eukaryota; Viridiplantae; Streptophyta; Magnoliopsida; Lamiales; Orobanchaceae.
CAGUCGUUGAUUUCUGGUGUAGCAUCAUCAAGAUUCACAAGCAAAGGCAUAUAUGGUGGUGGUGGUGUGUGUGCGUGUACAUAUAUAUAUAUAUAUAUAUAUAUCAUGUCUAUCCCUUCUCUCUCUCUAUAUAUAUAUAUAUAUAUUUCUCUCUCUACACCAGAGGCUUAUGGUGAUGAGAAUCUUGAUGAUGCUGCAUCGGCAAUAAAUGACUU